RNAcentral lists this ribosomal RNA (415 nucleotides) under uncultured fungus. RNAcentral describes it as "partial small subunit ribosomal RNA". It matches the Rfam family "Eukaryotic small subunit ribosomal RNA", at positions 30 to 432 of the family's 1831-position model. Lineage: Eukaryota; Fungi. The record is from RNAcentral.
GCUUGUCUCAAAGAUUAAGCCAUGCAUGUCUAAGUAUAAACAAAAUCUAUACUGUGAAACUGCGAAUGGCUCAUUAAAUCAGUUAUAAUUUAUUUGAUAAUAUCUCUUUACUUGGAUAACCGUAAAAAUUUUAGAGCUAAUACAUGCAAACAAACCCAACUUUUUUUAUUAAAGGAAGGGUUGUAUUUAUUAGAUACAGAACCAAUGCAGGGCAACCUGGUAUUCUGGUGAUUCAUAAUAACUUGACGAAUCGUAUUGCUUUUUAAGCUGACGAUGAUUCAUUCAAAUUUCUGCCCUAUCAACUGUGAUGGUAAGGUCUUGGCUUACCAUGGUGACAACGGGUGACGGGGAAUUAGGGUUCGAUUCCGGAGAGGGAGCCUGAGAAACGGCUACCACUUCUAAGGAAGGCAGCAGG